Molecule: non-coding RNA, 360 nt
Organism: Phascolarctos cinereus (koala)
Lineage: Eukaryota; Metazoa; Chordata; Mammalia; Diprotodontia; Phascolarctidae
Source: RefSeq, a predicted model, not a curated record
UUUAUGUUAGGGGUGGGCUCUGCAUACUUCUGUAGGGAAGAUCUGGGUUGGUCAUGCCGUUACUCUUUUGAGUAACUGAAUGUUAUAUUAUUCUAAGAUCUCAGGGAAAACUCAGAUUGGGGAUCUGCAAGUUUUCAGCGCUCCCAAAGUGGUCUGAUCUAGGACAGAGUCUUCCUGCUGCUUCUCUAGGAUUGUGCAAGUUGCUCCCGUAGGUUGCUGAGUUCCAGUGGCUAGAUCACUAUAUUAUUGGAGGGUAUGGGCUAGAACGAGAGCCAGUGGCUGGUCAACAACGUGAUCCGGACACGGAGGCAAGCUGAGGUGGAAGAAGAUGAUAUGAGCACUUUCAUCCCCAUUUUCCAG